Molecule: transfer RNA, 73 nt
Filed under: Elusimicrobia bacterium CG_4_10_14_0_2_um_filter_63_34
Lineage: Bacteria; Pseudomonadati; Elusimicrobiota
Also listed under: 2 other names
Description: tRNA-Ala
Rfam family: tRNA
About the family: Transfer RNA (tRNA) molecules are approximately 80 nucleotides in length.
Source: RNAcentral
GGGCCCGUAGCUCAGCUGGGAGAGCGCCUGCUUUGCAAGCAGGAGGUCGCCGGUUCGACCCCGGUCGGGUCCA